CGCGGCCUAUCAGCUUGUUGGUGAGGUAAUGGCUCACCAAGGCUUCGACGGGUAGCCGGCCUGAGAGGGCGACCGGCCACACUGGGACUGAGAUACGGCCCAGACUCCUACGGGAGGCAGCAGUGGGGAAUAUUGCACAAUGGGCGCAAGCCUGAUGCAGCAACGCCGCGUGCGGGAUGACGGCCUUCGGGUCGUAAACCGCUUUCAGUAGGGACGAAGCUAACGUGACGGUACCUACAGAAGAAGGACCGGCUAACUACGUGCCAGCAGCCGCGGUGAUACGUAGGGUCCGAGCGUUGUCCGGAAUUAUUGGGCGUAAAGGGCUUGUAGGCGGUCCGUCGCGUCAGGAGUGAAAACUCGGGGCUUAACCCCGAGCCUGCUUUUGAUACGGGCGGACUAGAGGGAUGCAGGGGAGAACGGAAUUCCUGGUGGAGCGGUGGAAUGCGCAGAUAUCAGGAGGAACACCGGUGGCGAAGGCGGUUCUCUGGGCAUCACCUGACGCUGAGAAGCGAAAGCGUGGGGAGCAAACAGGCUUAGAUACCCUGGUAGUCCACGCCGUAAACGGUGGGCACUAGGUGUGGGGGACAUUCCACGUUCUCCGUGCCGAAGCUAACGCAUUAAGUGCCCCGCCUGGGGAGUACGG
This 643-nucleotide ribosomal RNA is filed under the name uncultured bacterium. RNAcentral's name for it is "bacterial SSU rRNA". It matches the Rfam family "Bacterial small subunit ribosomal RNA", at positions 232 to 885 of the family's 1533-position model. The record is from RNAcentral.